UACGUAGGUGGCAAGCGUUGUCCGGAUUUACUGGGCGUAAAGAGCGCGCAGGCGGUCAAGUAAGUCGAAUGUGAAAGCCCCCGGCUUAACUGGGGAGGGUCAUUCGAUACUGCUCGACUCGAAGGCAGGAGAGGGAAGCGGAAUUCCCGGUGUAGUGGUGAAAUGCGUAGAUAUCGGGAGGAACACCAGUGGCGAAGGCGGCUUUCUGGCCUGUUCUUGACGCUGAGGCGCGAAAGCUAGGGGAGCAAACGGG
RNAcentral lists this ribosomal RNA (253 nucleotides) under uncultured bacterium. RNAcentral describes it as "partial 16S ribosomal RNA". It matches the Rfam family "Bacterial small subunit ribosomal RNA", at positions 524 to 776 of the family's 1533-position model. The record is from RNAcentral.